This 464-nucleotide ribosomal RNA is filed under the name uncultured bacterium. RNAcentral's name for it is "bacterial SSU rRNA". It matches the Rfam family "Bacterial small subunit ribosomal RNA", at positions 37 to 518 of the family's 1533-position model. The record is from RNAcentral.
UGGCGGCGUGCCUAACACAUGCAAGUCGAGCGAGGAGAUUCCUCGGGAUGAUCCUAGCGGCGGACGGGUGAGUAACACGUGGGCAACCUGCCUCAUAGAGAGGAAUAGCCUUCCGAAAGGGAGAUUAAUACCUCAUAACAUUGCAGUUUCGCAUGGAACAGCAAUUAAAGGAGCAAUCCGCUAUGAGAUGGGCCCGCGGCGCAUUAGCUAGUUGGUGAGGUAACGGCUCACCAAGGCGACGAUGCGUAGCCGACCUGAGAGGUCGAACGGCCACAUUGGGACUGAGACACGGCCCAGACUCCUACGGGAGGCAGCAGUGGGGAAUAUUGCACAAUGGGGGAAACCCUGAUGCCAGCAACGCCGCGUGAGUGAUGACGGCCUUCGGGUUGUAAAGCUCUGUCUUCAGGGACGAUAAUGACGGUACCUGAGGAGGAAGCCACGGCUAACUACGUGCCAGCCGCGGC